AGCGCAGGCGGUGCGGCAAGUCUGAUGUGAAAGCCCGGGGCUCAACCCCGGUACUGCAUUGGAAACUGUCGUACUAGAGUGUCGGAGGGGUAAGCGGAAUUCCUAGUGUAGCGGUGAAAUGCGUAGAUAUUAGGAGGAACACCAGUGGCGAAGGCGGCUUACUGGACGAUAACUGACGCUGAGGCUCGAAAGCGGUGGGGAGCAAACA
Molecule: ribosomal RNA, 208 nt
Filed under: uncultured bacterium
Lineage: Bacteria
Description: partial 16S ribosomal RNA
Rfam family: Bacterial small subunit ribosomal RNA
Source: RNAcentral